UACGUAGGGGGCGAGCGUUGUCCGGAAUUACUGGGCGUAAAGGGCGCGCAGGCUGUUAUGCGAGUCUGCUGUGAAAUGUACCGGCUCAACCGGUGCCUUGCGGCGGAUACUGCAUAGCUGGAGUACUGGAGAGGGAAGUGGAAUUCCCGGUGUAGCGGUGGAAUGCGUAAAUAUCGGGAGGAACACCAGUGGCGAAGGCUGCUGUCUGGAACGUUGCUGACGCUGAGGUGCGAAAGCUAGGGGAGCGAACGGGAUUAGAUACCCCCGUA
Molecule: ribosomal RNA, 269 nt
Filed under: uncultured prokaryote
Description: partial 16S ribosomal RNA
Rfam family: Bacterial small subunit ribosomal RNA
Source: RNAcentral